This 347-nucleotide unclassified non-coding RNA is filed under the name soil metagenome. RNAcentral describes it as "partial contains 5.8S ribosomal RNA, internal transcribed spacer 2, and large subunit ribosomal RNA". The stretch from base 1 to 120 matches the Rfam family "5.8S ribosomal RNA", at positions 35 to 154 of the family's 154-position model. The record is from RNAcentral.
GAUGAAGAACGUAGCGAAAUGCGAUAAGUAAUGUGAAUUGCAGAAUUCAGUGAAUCAUCGAAUCUUUGAACGCACAUUGCGCCCGCUAGUAUUCUGGCGGGCAUGCCUGUCCGAGCGUCAUUUCAACCCUCAAGCCCCCCGGGUUUGGUGUUGGGGAUCGGCUCUGCCUCACGGCGGUGCCGCCCCCGAAAUACAUUGGCGGUCUCGCUGCAGCCUCCAUUGCGUAGUAGCUAACACCUCGCAACUGGAACGCGGCGCGGCCAUGCCGUAAAACCCCAACUUCUGAAUGUUGACCUCGGAUCAGGUAGGAAUACCCGCUGAACUUAAGCAUAUCAAUAAGCGGAGGA